RNAcentral lists this ribosomal RNA (1221 nucleotides) under Duplicibothrium minutum. Its description in RNAcentral is "eukaryotic LSU rRNA". It matches the Rfam family "Eukaryotic large subunit ribosomal RNA", at positions 65 to 789 of the family's 3401-position model. The record is from RNAcentral. Lineage: Eukaryota; Metazoa; Platyhelminthes; Cestoda; Tetraphyllidea; Serendipidae.
CUAACCAGGAUUCCCCUAGUAACGGCGAGUGAAGAGGGAAAAGCCCAGCACCGAAGCCUGUGGCUAUUUGGCUACUAGGCAAUGUGGUGUUUAGGCCGAUUCGUGGGAUUGCCGCUCCACUCGAAGUCCAGCAUUGAGUAUGGUCACUGGAUUUGGCCCAGAGAGGGUGAUAGGCCCGUACGGGUGGAGUUUCAGACAUGUAAGGCAGUUCACCAGGUCGACCUUCGAGUCGGGUUGUUUGAGAAUGCAGCCCAAAGUGGGUGGUAAACUCCAUCCAAGGCUAAAUACAAGCACGAGUCCGAUAGCAAACAAGUACCGUGAGGGAAAGUUGAAAAGUACUUUGAAGAGAGAGUAAACAGUACGUGAAACCGCAUGCAGGUAAACGGGUGGCGUCAAGCUGCAAUCCUGGAGAAUUCAGCCGGCUAGUGUGUCGUGAAUGCGCCUGUGCAUCAUCAGUCGGUGUAAGAUGUGAUAGUCUACCGGGCAACGGUAGGCCGGGCCGCAAGGUUCGGUUAUGUGUACCGGGUGGAAGCCGGAGCAUGCUAUUCAUCUGUUGGACUGGCUAGCCGGUGCACUUUCUCUAUGGUGAACACCACGAUCGGUGGAAUUGCCAGUCUGCUGUAGUCAAGUCGUAUUCGAUGGGUUCUUGUAAUUCAUUGGGUGCGAUCACAGGCAAUGUCAGUACACGGCGUAGAGGUGUCUCCACAUCACUGCGUGUUAUCGGUUACUGCUUGUCAACGGGCCUGCCUAGUGGUUGUUGUAAUCGCCGCUGGGUGGCUUGGUGGACUACAGUGGUAAGAAUAACUGUGCAAGGCACCGGGGAUGUCGGCCUCAAUUGCACUCCGCAUACACAUUACAAGUGGUGUGGGGUGCCAUCGCUGCCUGCUUACUGUUGAGUCUGAUUGUCGUGUCGCCUGCACAAAGUAGGUCCGGCAGUGGCUUGAUGUAAGGUGGGUAGUUGGUGGUGCUCCGCGUGUAGAGUGUGGUGGGCCAAGUAAUCAGUGGUGCAGUGGUAGACGAGCUACCCGACCNGUCUUGANNCACGGACCAAGGAGUUCAACAUGUAUGCGAGUCAAUGGGUCCUACGAAACCCAAAGGCGCAGUGAAAGUAAAGCUUCGACAUGUUCUCGGAGUGAGGUGAGAUCCUGCCGUAUCGCAUCAGCCUAUCAGGCUAAGAGCGGUGGGCGCAUCACCGGCCCGUCCCAUGAUGUGGCCGCUGGC